This 266-nucleotide ribosomal RNA is filed under the name Phyllomacromia bifasciata. RNAcentral's name for it is "partial 28S ribosomal RNA". It matches the Rfam family "Eukaryotic large subunit ribosomal RNA", at positions 1389 to 1613 of the family's 3401-position model. The record is from RNAcentral. Lineage: Eukaryota; Metazoa; Arthropoda; Insecta; Odonata; Macromiidae.
UCGCGGCGGUGCGCGCAGAARGGUCUGGGUCGAGCCUGCCUGGAGCCGCCGCCGGUGCAGAUCUUGGUGGUAGUAGCAAAUACUCCAGCGAGGCCCUGGAGGACUGAUGUGGAGAAGGGUUUCGUGUGAACAGCCGUUGCACACGAGUCAGUCGACCCUAAGCCCUAGGAGAGAUCCGAUGCAAACGGGCGAUGGGAAAAAACUGUACUCUUGAANAANGGUUUKGANRARANCCCNUUGAUCGGGNNAAAAGGGAANNCGGUUCC